Molecule: long non-coding RNA, 1092 nt
Organism: Macaca mulatta (Rhesus monkey)
Lineage: Eukaryota; Metazoa; Chordata; Mammalia; Primates; Cercopithecidae
Source: Ensembl
UGCAACAAAUCACCACAGAGGGAUGGGAUGGGACCACCAUUUUAUGUUUUUCCAGAUAUCUCCUGAGACACAAGCAGGUAGAUUCCUGAGCAAAAAUGGGAUUCCGUAAACAAGGAGGAAGAGGAGUGGCAGAAGAGUUUGUGAGGGGCUGCAAGGCCCAGAGAUCUGGACACAGGCCAAGAAGUCAAGAACUGUUGAAGCCGCAGUCUCCACUCUCCUACUGACACCAGAGACCACCCAGCCCAGCCACACCAUAUGGCCUCUUGUUUUCCUGAUGUAUGAGGUGGGUAGAACGCUUUUCCCCCAAAAGCGGACUCCAAGGGAUCAAUUAGUUAAAAUCUGUAAACAUGUAGCAUUAUAAUUACGAUUCCGGCUUCUAGUCGAAAUGAAACUGGCCAAAAGGAAAGAAAAUACUGACACUGCCUCUGAGGGCAGCUGCCACAGCUUUUCCGGUAUUUCCAGUCUGGUUGGUUGAAGAAUGUCUUGGAUCAGCUCAGCGCUUGACUGGCCCAGAGCUGUGCCUGCCCCAUUUGAAGAUAAGGAGGCCAAAAACCCAACUGAGCCCUGGACAUAACUAGGCCAUGGGAGUUUACACCAUUUGCUGUAGCAAACGCUGGGCCUCUCAAUAGGUUACAAUGUGUCUAAGGCAGGGCCCUAAACCUUCAGGUUGUUUAGGAAUUGACAGGUUGUGUAGAUGGCCAGUAAACAGAUUUUUGGUUUCUAAAGUGUGAGUCUAAAAGCAGUGCUGCUGGGCCAGGCGCAGGUGACUCAUGCCUGUAAUCCCAGCACUUUGGGAGGCCGAGGCGGGCAGAUUACGAGGUCAGGAGUUCGAGACUAGCUUGGCCAACACUGUGAAACACCGUCUCUACUAAAAAUACAAAAAUUAGCUGGGUGUGGUGGUGCGUGCCUGUAGUCCCAGCCACUAGGGAGGCUGAGGCAGAAGAAUCACUUGAAGCCGGGAGGCAGAGGUUGCAGUGAGCAGAGAUCGGGCCACUGCACUCCAUCCUGGCAACAGAGUGAGACCCAGUCUCAAAAAUAAAGAAAGAAAUAAAAAUAAAAGCAAUGCUACUAAGACAUCUGCGGCUGUCAGGG